GGCGAACGCUGGCGGCGUGCUUAACACAUGCAAGUCGAACGGAAAGGCCCUGCUUUUGUGGGGUGCUCGAGUGGCGAACGGGUGAGUAACACGUGAGUAACCUGCCCUUGACUUUGGGAUAACUUCAGGAAACUGGGGCUAAUACCGGAUAGGAGCUCCUGCUGCAUGGUGGGGGUUGGAAAGUUUCGGCGGUUGGGGAUGGACUCGCGGCUUAUCAGCUUGUUGGUGGGGUAGUGGCUUACCAAGGCUUUGACGGGUAGCCGGCCUGAGAGGGUGACCGGCCACAUUGGGACUGAGAUACGGCCCAGACUCAUACGGGAGGCAGCAGUGGGGAAUAUUGCACAAUGGGCGGAAGCCUGAUGCAGCAACGCCGCGUGCGGGAUGACGGCCUUCGGGUUGUAAACCGCUUUCGCCUGUGACGAAGCGUGAGUGACGGUAAUGGGUAAAGAAGCACCGGCUAACUACGUG
Molecule: ribosomal RNA, 468 nt
Filed under: uncultured bacterium
Lineage: Bacteria
Description: partial 16S ribosomal RNA
Rfam family: Bacterial small subunit ribosomal RNA
Source: RNAcentral